UGUGUGGCAGUUGCGGGUUGAGUGGCGUAUUUCUGUUAAUAUAAACAGGCGUUUUUGGUGGUUCUUUGCCACCAUACAGAAUGAAAAAACCAAGAGACAGGCUAAAACGAACAGGUGUCUACACUAUACCUGUCACCAACUAUCGCAAUAACCAGUCGAUAUCCUACAUAGGAGUCACUACAAGGACACUCGGGCAGCUCUUAGAAGAACACAAAAAAGACAUAGAGAAAGCUAAAUUGACAACUGCCCUAUCCAUUAAGGCUUACGAAGGUGAUAUAGAUAUACACUGGCAAGAAGUCAGAGUAU
This 306-nucleotide long non-coding RNA is filed under the name Androctonus crassicauda. Lineage: Eukaryota; Metazoa; Arthropoda; Arachnida; Scorpiones; Buthidae. The record is from RNAcentral.